Molecule: unclassified non-coding RNA, 263 nt
Filed under: fungal sp.
Lineage: Eukaryota; Fungi
Description: partial internal transcribed spacer region
Rfam family: Eukaryotic small subunit ribosomal RNA (bases 1-46)
Source: RNAcentral
AAGUCGUAACAAGGUUUCCGUAGGUGAACCUGCGGAAGGAUCAUUAACACGUAUUCACGUAUCAAAACCCCUCUGUGCAAACCUCUUCGUAAGGCUUGAUUGGAGUUGUAUUCACUCGAUCUUAAUGAUGGGAGUCCCUCGGGACUCGGGAUCUAUGGCAGGCCGCUAUUUUUCCAUCGUUGGCCUUUUACCUAAUUUUAACCCCCUGUACUUUUUUGUCCUGAACUAAAGAACAACCCUUAGCAACGGAUAUCUUGGUUCCC